GUUGUCGUGGCCGAGUGGUUAAGGCGAUGGACUAGAAAUCCAUUAGGGGUUACCCCGCGCAGGUUCAAAUCCUGCCGAUAACA
Danionella cerebrum is the source of this 83-nucleotide non-coding RNA. Lineage: Eukaryota; Metazoa; Chordata; Actinopteri; Cypriniformes; Danionidae. The record is from the annotation of a GenBank genome assembly.